GGGUUAGUAAGUUGGUCGUGCCACUGGUAUGUACUGGCUUUACUGAUUCCUCCUUCUUGUAGAACCGUAAUGCCAUUAAGUUGGUGUUGCGGGGAAACAGGACUGUUACUUUGAAAAAAUUAGAGUGUUUAAAGCAAGCUAACGCUUGAAUACAUUAGCAUGGAAUAAUGAAAUAGGACG
This 180-nucleotide ribosomal RNA is filed under the name uncultured Glomeromycotina. Its description in RNAcentral is "partial small subunit ribosomal RNA". Lineage: Eukaryota; Fungi; Glomeromycota. The record is from RNAcentral.